Molecule: ribosomal RNA, 509 nt
Filed under: uncultured bacterium
Lineage: Bacteria
Description: bacterial SSU rRNA
Rfam family: Bacterial small subunit ribosomal RNA
Source: RNAcentral
AGUUUGAUCAUGGCUCAGAGUGAACGCUGGCGGCAGGCCUAAUACAUGCAAGUCGAACGGCAGCACAGCAGAGCUUGCUCUGGUGGGUGGCGAGUGGCGGACGGGUGAGGAAUACAUGGGAAUCUGCCCAGUCGUGGGGGAUAACGUAGGGAAACUUACGCUAAUACCGCAUGCGCCCUUCGGGGGAAAGCCGGGGACCUUCGGGCCUGGCGCGAUUGGAUGAGCCCAUGUCGGAUUAGCUAGUUGGCGGGGUAAUGGCCCACCAAGGCGACGAUCCGUAGCUGGUCUGAGAGGAUGAUCAGCCACACUGGAACUGAGACACGGUCCAGACUCCUACGGGAGGCAGCAGUAGGGAAUAUUGGACAAUGGGCGCAAGCCUGAUCCAGCCAUGCCGCGUGAGUGAAGAAGGCCCUCGGGUUGUAAAGCUCUUUUGUCCGGAAAGAAAAGCGCCGGGUUAAUACCCUGGUGUCCUGACGGUACCGGAAGAAUAAGCACCGGCUAACUUCGUG